CAGUCGCCGCGGUAAUACGAAGGGGGCUAGCGUUGCUCGGAAUUACUGGGCGUAAAGGGCGCGUAGGCGGACAGUUCAGUCGGGGGUGAAAGCCCGGGGCUCAACCUCGGAAUUGCCUUCGAUACUGGCUGUCUUGAGUAUGAGAGAGGUGUGUGGAACUCCGAGUGUAGAGGUGAAAUUCGUAGAUAUUCGGAAGAACACCAGUGGCGAAGGCGACACACUGGCUCAUUACUGACGCUGAGGCGCGAAAGCGUGGGGAGCAAACAGGAUUAGAUACCCCAGUAGUCCCUGUCUCUUAUAC
Molecule: ribosomal RNA, 301 nt
Filed under: uncultured bacterium
Lineage: Bacteria
Description: partial 16S ribosomal RNA
Rfam family: Bacterial small subunit ribosomal RNA
Source: RNAcentral